Long non-coding RNA from Sinocyclocheilus anshuiensis, 435 nucleotides. RefSeq lists it as uncharacterized. The transcript is spliced from 3 exons. The record is from RefSeq and is a predicted model, not a curated record. NCBI's taxonomy places the organism in Eukaryota, Metazoa, Chordata, Actinopteri, Cypriniformes, Cyprinidae.
GACCUCUGCUCCAUAAAUGAAGACCACAGGCAGUUGAAGGCAGGCUGGAGGAAGACUUCAUGACAAGCCUGCCAUUAUGCAAGCCUUUUGUCUUUCUCUUUAUUUUCAAGGUUUCAGAGGGCAUGGAUUGAAAGGUCAUUUCUAAAAAGGGAGUGCAUUCACAUAUUCCCCAGCAAAGAGCCCAGCAAGUGUUGUUGCGGUCAGCUGGUAAACCAACAUGUGGCUAUUCUUCUUGGCUCCACCAAUAAGAGCGCAGAGGAAGGCCAGGGGGUGCAGACCGAGCCUCCACAAGAGAAAUGGUCGGUUGCUAAGCACACACAAGCCACGCCCACUGACGCAUACGGCAUCAUUGAAUUCCAGGGAGGAGGUCAUGUCAACAAGGCCAUGGUAUUUUUCAGAGAACCAUGUGAUUCAUUUGUUUUUCAUUGCACAAAA